Molecule: long non-coding RNA, 1176 nt
Organism: Pogona vitticeps (central bearded dragon)
Lineage: Eukaryota; Metazoa; Chordata; Lepidosauria; Squamata; Agamidae
Source: Ensembl
ACAGGUACCCAUACUAAAAAGCAUCACUCCAUAUUUGUACUGGUAGAAAUUAGAAAUCAUGUGGAGGUUUAGCCAAAAACAACACAUUUAUUUGUCCUGUAACUGAGCAGUGAUGCUACAGAUUGCCUUCUCUUCAUUCAGCACAUCUCUUCUUGGACCCCUUUGUUAAAGCUUUCUGCACUAGAUACAAAUGGAUGUGAUGUCACAGCUUGGAUGACUGAAGUAAACCAGCUGGUAUAAAUAGAGUCAUUUUUCCAGGUGGCUGCAUACUCUUCCUAAGGCUCUAGGUGAGUUUACCCAGACCAGGUUCCUUCCAGUUGAUUUGGACAACAAUUUCCAUUUUCUCUAGCCAAUUAACAUAGUAUGGAGGGGGGCAAGAUUAGAGGAAGUGAAGGCUGGCAACUUCUCUCUCUGCAUUUCAACAAUUGCUUUUUCAUCCUUCCAGGUGUACAGUUGCUCAGCUCUGUGUAUGACUCUGCACUAACAGGAAAAGGAAGGACUUUGAGGUGAUGUCACAAGGCCUAGGAAGAGAAACAGGAUACACCAAGGUUAAGAAGACACGAUCAAAGCUGGGACAAUGAUAUUUUGCUACUGUAUGAAUUCUCCCUCAGCUGGCUUAAUCCUCUUCUUAGGGAGACCUGGUGCUGAAAGCCGAUCAUUUAGGUGGACUCUAAAUAAAGCCAGUAGCUUGAAUUCCUGCCACCAGCCCUUUUAUAAUGAAAAGGCUCUAAUGAAUGCUGGAUACAGUGGGGAACUGAGAACUCACUUUUAUGACUCCUAUGAUUCCCCGGCAAUAAUGAACUAAGGGAAGGCUUGUAACUGAGUUCUUCUAAUGGGGCCUUUGCUCCUGUAUAUUUCAUUACAAGUGGGGAAACCAGGAGGAUUGGAUGUCUGUCAGGGUUCACGUCGGCCCAGCAAUGGGAGGAGAAAAACAAAACGAAGCAUAAAGUGAGUGUUGAACGAGCUUUUCCCAGGAUCCCCAAGUGGGUUUCAUGUAUUGCCUAAUGCUGAAAAUGAGACAGAUUCAGCUUUCUCCACAGGUUGUAAAGGCUGAGUUAUCUUACCACUGCAAUUGUUUAGGACUACAAGUAAAUGCACAAAGCCACAGCCUUUUUCAAUCAUUCUUUAUCUAAGGGUCUAUUUUGUUUUCUUAAAACCCUUCUUUUUAUAUUUUGA